This is a long non-coding RNA of Episyrphus balteatus (marmalade hoverfly), 581 nucleotides long. RefSeq lists it as uncharacterized. The transcript is spliced from 3 exons. The record is from RefSeq and is a predicted model, not a curated record. NCBI's taxonomy places the organism in Eukaryota, Metazoa, Arthropoda, Insecta, Diptera, Syrphidae.
UACAUUUAGUCUUAUUUUAUUUGUCCCUAUUUCAUGUAACUCGCUCAGGUACAGUACAAAGAAAAACGUUUUACUUGAUACGAUUCCUGAAGAAAGGCCAACAUUUAGCAAAAAAAAAAAUGUUUAACGCAUAAAAGUUAAAAAAAUAUUAGUAAUCAAACGUAAAAUAAGUUCAAAUGUAAGCCAAGGAGACACCUAGAUCAUCCGAAUCGUACUUGAACAACUGGAACUAAAAGGGGAAAUUAUUUCACCUGCAUCAAAUAUAAUAAAAACAUAACAGACCACUCCUUGUUUUCUUUCUGGCAAAAUGAGUUCUUCAAAUGGUUGUAUCGAUGAUUUCGUGAUGAAACCUUUUGUUGAUGUAGCAAGAAAUUUGGAGGAAUCUUUCUACUAAGAAUAUUAAGUUAAAAUCAACGGGAGCAAAAAAUCUUAAAGCUAAAUGGCUUGAAGCCCUUUAAUAAAUAUCUGGUACAUCUAAGGCUCAAAUCCUAAAAAUUCCCCCUGGGUGAUCACUUCAUGUGUAAAAUUGCGACUAAACACUUUAAAAUAUUAAUGAUCUAGAAAUGGUAUACAACUGUUAA